UUUCCGUAGGUGAACCUGCGGAAGGAUCAUUGAAUUCAGAUCAUGCCAGUCUGCGAACCAACCGUUCCCCGCCUGUCCGGGCCUUUAGAAGAGGCCCGGGCCGGCGCGCAUGUCCCUGACGUCGGGGGUCCGCGCCUGUGCACUCGGAUCGAAGGGCGUGCAGAGCCCGGAGGUCCGAGAUGGACGGACGUCGCCGGCGGCUCAGGUCUUGCGGGCCGGGGGAGGGGGUCGCGGUGCCCACCCGGGUGGGGUGGGGCCGUCCCUCUUCACCGGUCGGAAAACCCAACUCCACCAAACACCAACACAAUCGGAGUUCUGAAGACGAAUGCGGAUCCGGCGAAAGCCGCCCGCGAGACACAAACCGAAGACAACUCUCAACAACGGAUAUCUUGGCUCCC
This 398-nucleotide unclassified non-coding RNA is filed under the name plant metagenome. RNAcentral describes it as "partial contains small subunit ribosomal RNA, internal transcribed spacer 1, and 5.8S ribosomal RNA". The record is from RNAcentral.